Cebus imitator (Panamanian white-faced capuchin) is the source of this 5296-nucleotide RNA transcript. It is a transcript of the gene named ventricular zone expressed PH domain containing 1, with no coding region annotated. The record is from RefSeq and is a predicted model, not a curated record. The transcript has 8 exons. Lineage: Eukaryota; Metazoa; Chordata; Mammalia; Primates; Cebidae.
AAGCUACGGAUCUGCUCAGAGAAAUCUGCAAAUCUCGUGUAAAAAUAAGUGAAGCUUUGUGCCAAUUAUUAGGCCUAAGCAGAAGUUUGGGAGAGACAGAAGUUACUUAUUUGCCUGAUUCCGCACGCUGAGUCCAUGGGGAGGGAAUGAAGUGUACCGCUGGCUUGACAAGCAGCACAGGGAGACGCGGCUGCAGCCCACAGGACUGGGUAGCAGCUGCAAGGCUGCCUCUGAGCAUGGUCAUGGGUCCCAGCCGCAGUGCUCUAAAGAUCAAGCAUUUUGCCUUCUAUUUUCUAUGACCAGAGAUUCCCGUGCAAAGAGAGAGUGUCAAUGAAGACCUCAAAGUCUGGAGAAAAAUGACCUUUCAUGGAAUACAAAAUAUACCUCCUGCUACGUGUUUUUGUCUUACUGACCUCUGAUAACUGAAACACAUGGCUCUGAGUCUGUAGAAAGUCAACUGAUCAAACUCCUCCUCGCCAUGCAUCAACUUUUCAGACUGGUUUUGGGACAAAAAGAUCUCUCACGAGCUGGGGACCUCUUCUCCUUAGAUGACUCUGAGAUUGAAGACAGCCUGACAGAAGCUUUGGAGCAAAUUAAGAUAAUUAGCUCAUCUUCAGAUUACCAAACCAAUAACAAUGACCAGGCAGUAGUUGAAAUCUGUAUCACGAGAAUCACAACAGCCAUCAGAGAGACUGAGUCCAUUGAAAAGCAUGCAAAGGCCCUCGUGGGGCUCUGGGACUCCUGCUUGGAACAUAACCUGAGACCCUUUGGGAAAGAUGAAGAUACUCCUCAUGCAAAAAUCGCAUCUGAUAUCAUGAGUUGCAUUUUACAGAAUUACAACAGACCCUCCGUGAUGGCAUUAGCCAUCCCCAUUGCAGUGAAAUUCCUCCACAGAGGCAACAAAGAACUGUGCAGGAAUAUGUCUAACUACCUGUCUCUGGCCGCAAUUACCAAGGCAGAUCUUCUGGCUGAUCACACAGAAGUUAUAGUAAAGAGCAUACUCCAAGGUAACACCAUGUUGUUGAGAGUGUUACCUGCUGUGUAUGAAAAGCAGCCUCAGCCAAUUAAUAGACACCUGACAGAACUCUUGGCCUUAAUGUCUCAGCUGGAACAGCCAGAACAAUACCAUCUACUACGGCUUCUGCAUGUAGCAGCAAAGAAAAAACAACUGGAGGUAGUUCAGAAGUGUAUUCCUUUCCUAAUUGGGCAUUUGAAGGAUUCAACCCAUAAUGACAUCAUCCUAAACAUCCUUAUAGAGAUAGCAAGCUACGAGCCGGUGGCUUUGAACAGUUUUCUUCCAAUGCUGAAGGAGAUUGGUGAGAGAUUCCCCUACCUCAUUGGACAGAUGGCAAGGAUUUAUGGAGCUGUUGGGCAUGUGGAUGAAGAAAGCAGCUGAAUGGAUAGGCAUAUGUGGGACCAGUCAAAAUCAGGAGACAGAAUUGGAAUGAGGCACCAUAGACAACCACGUGUAUCACUAAAGCUGGAAAGGAGAACUGGCUACACAUUUUUUUCUUUUUUAAGAAAUAACUGGUGUAUGUAGAUUUUUCUUCCUCAGGGUAGAAUGUAUAUCUGUUUUACAUUGACAUCACAGACCACCAUUCCUGGGAGAAAUGAGGAUAACAAAAAUAAUAGCUUCAUUUUAUAAAACUUCAUAAAUUAAAAUAGGCCUUGUUUUCUUGGGCCACUGGAAGUACACUGCUUUCCAUAAAGGGUAGGUCGUCCCCAUGCCCCCACCUAUUUAAACAGCUCAAAUAAGUUUGCAGCCAUUUUUAUAAAACUCUUAUGAACUAAAUCUGCAGUGGUUUAAGUUAAGCCCAAACUAAGCUGAUGUUUUUUGUCCAUGGAGGACUGAAAUAGAAUGUUUGUUUCCACUUUAGAGGGUUUUACUUUUUCAUUUUUUCUUCCCUAAUUAGACUCUCUUAGCCAUGCCAGUGGUCUCAGCCCACUUGUUAGGUAUUAUCGCUAUUAUAGCCCUCUUUCCUAACAUGGGUCAACUUGGAAAAGAGAAUGCUUUAGGAAUGACAUUGUUUCUUGAGAGGCCAACUUGAAUUCAUGCAUCUUUCCAUCUAUUUAAGUCUCAAAUAAGUGGACUGAAACAAAUUUUAGUUUAAUAGUCAUCUUUACUUUAGGAACUGGUCAUAUUAGAAAGCCCAUACCACUAUGUAGCAUGCACUCCAUUACCAUGCCCCUCCUCUGUGCCAUACCUACAAGGCAGCAGACCUAGUGGUGGAAACAGAGACGAGGUGCUUCAAAUUUUUUUUUACAGAUAAUCUGAUAGCACAUGGAAAGGUUCUAUGGCCACUUGUUUUUCCUUCACUGCAGACCAAUAGCCCACAUCUAUGAAGAAUCAAAUGGCAUGUCCCUGAGUGCAGCUGCUGCCAUCGUGUGUGUUAAAUCCUGUGCCCUCUGCCUUGUUUUUCUAACUAGCUGGAAUAUGCUGGCUAAGCAUCAGGGCGUGUUCAUUACAUCCUCUCUGGGCUCAGAGUCAUGGACACUUUUCAAGUAAAGAAGUGACACACAUCUUGCCCAGGUCGCAUUUCUGUGACAUCCGGCAUGCCUACAAAAACACUUUCAGGAGGAAAAGGAAAAGAAUGACAAAGGCAGCUGAGAACCACAUUACUGUCCUCAUCCUGGCUGUUGAAUAACAUCCUGAGAAAUGGGAGCUGGGUGGAUGAUUUACACCUUUAAAUUACAAAUCAAGGCUAAAAAAAAAUCUGGGGCCAUUCUACAAGAGGAAGGACCUGUGACUUAAAAGCACAAUUUCCCCAAGGAUGAUCGACUUAGUUAAAACUUUGUGAUACAGGGCAGAGCUGCUGAUUCUUUCCAAAUAUAAGGUCCAAUACUGGUGAUGAAGACACAGAGGAGAGAAAGACAUGGUCCCUGCCCUAGAGGAGCUCACAAUUUGGGAUGAAGAAGAUGUAAAAACAGAAAUUGGAAUUAAAUUUGUUACUUGCUGUUACUGAAUUUUGAACUGGACCAGGAAGGAAGGAACUAACCCCAUGUGGGGGAGUUUUAGAGGAGCAUUAUAAGUUUGGCUUGUAAGAUGAUAGGGUUAUGUCAGGGGAAGAGGAGGAAGGUAUCCAUGGGAAGUCAUCACAUUCAGUGGCAAUCAGCCAGGAAAAGGUCUUGAGUCUUCUAGAAAUUGUGAAGGACUUCAAGUGCUUGGAGCAUAGGAUGAAGAAUGGAGGGGAGGGAGAGAGAUGAAGCUGGACAGUGGGCUAGGUCAGAUUAUGAAAACUCCUUAUUGAUUAGCAGAUAGUUCCUGUUUUCUACCUUCUCUUGGCUGAUUCUAGGAACAAUAUUUUAUUUCCCUUCAUAGGACAGAUAAGUAAAUGUAAUCCUAUGUACCCUAGAGUUCCUAAGAAACUAAAAGCUGGCGAAAGGACAAACAGUCCCAAAAUACUUGUAAAUUUAGAGUAGUAAGUGAUGGUUACAAAGGUUACAUGUUGCAAAAAUUUUUAACAAUGUCUUGUAAUUAUCAGCUGUAAUUUGGGCCAACUGACCAAAUCCACAGAGGACCUGCAGCUCCCUGUGAGCUGGACAGCUUCGCAAGUCCCAUGACAUGACUGCACAUAGAAGGGAUGUCUGCAUGACCAGGAUCAAACCCCAGAAGUAGGCAGUCUGGUCCCCAGAGAUUUUAUCUUUCUCUUUCCAGAGGAGGACCAUCUGACUUUCUUACACUGGUGUCUUGGAGGGAAGUAGGUGCUGCCUCAAGAAAGGCAGGAAGCCACCACUUAGUAAGUGCCCUUUCUAGCCAUGAGCCUAAGAAGUGAACAAACCUCAGAUUCACCAGAAAGGACAACUGGGCAUUGGCAGCAGAUUGGUUGAAGAGGACAAAGCAGCUGCUAAUUCCAGUUCAAAUCCUGAUGCUCUUUUAAGAUGAUAGCAGGUCCUCACCCUGCCUGUAGCUCUCAGACCAAAAUCACUUAAUUUCUAACUACUUCCAAUGGUUAGUAUUUGAAUUUCUUUGCCUAUGGCUUCCCCAACUUCACAAACCAUUCUGCUAACACACAUGGUGUAUGCAUAUGUGAGGAAUGAAUAUUGUCUCAUGGCAUUCCACAACCAGUGAUGGGAGUUGGUGUAUUGUCAACUCCCAUAACUCCUUUACCCCUCAAAUGAAAUAAACUCCCCCUAGAAUUUUCCAGACUACUUUUUGAGCUGCUUGCCUUCUCUUUCUCACUCUUCUAUUCCCCUGUUGGUUUCCUGAAGUUUCCAAAUAAAUGAUUUGCACUUAAAUCAUCUCAGGGUCUGCCCAUUUCUGGGAAGCCCAAUCCAAGACAAAGACAUUUCUAGAACUUCCGCAAGCCACUGCAAUCUGCCCUGCUCUGAAUAUACAUUUGAGAAUGUACAUCUAUAACACAGAGUUUAGCAUCUGAUUGUUUUCCAGUUGCAUUUUCUUUUUAUUUAUUUGGUGCGUGAAUACAUACACUCCCAACCCACUAUAAGCACUCUGAAGGAAGGAACCAUACCUUACCCCUCCUCAUGACCCCGGCACAACCCUUCCAAGUAAUUAGCUCAUAGCAAGUGGUUCACAGGUACUUGCCAACUAACUGUUCCAUAGAGACUGGGACUUGACUGACCAUCAGUAUCUUUUACUAGUAGAUGGCAUCUGAUGACAUGACAGGUUGGGUUUGAGGAGACCAGGAAAACUAUAGACAUUGGGUUCCAGUCAACAGUUGUGGCUACUGGUUUUUCAGGAUCUGCCAGUCUCCAUCCCAUGUGGUCCCCAAAGUGCUCAGACAAGCAGUAUUGAGUGUCACUCAGGAACUUGAAUCAGAAUCCAUAAUUUAACAAGAUGCCCAAGUGGCGUGUAUGCACAUGAAAGUAGAAGUAGUACUGUUCCUGAGGAUCCAGGCCCUACAGGAUUUAUCUGCUAUAGAACCUGGAGGAGUCUAGACAUGCCCACACAUAUAUAUACAUGCUUGAUGCAUAUAUGUUUCCAGACAUACACACAGCUAUACCCACACAGUUUUCUUUGUGAGACCCACUUGUUUUUAUGUAAAUAAUCAAUAACCUUUUACAGUCAUAAUCUUUGAUAAUGUCUGUAUAUACAUGAAGUCAGGAAAUAUCAUGCAUUAUUGACAAUACAGUUUAUGAACAUUUAUCCAACACCUGCUGUAUGCAAGGCAGUAUAAGGAGUGCAAUGUUAAAUAAAAUUCAAUCCCUCUGCUAUAAAAAAGGACUUUUUUAUUCACUUAGAAAUGAUCCUUUACUCACUUGAGCCCAGGAGUUCAAGGCAGUGAGCUAUGAUUGUGCCUCUACACUCCAGUGUGGUAACAAAGCAAGACGCCCUCUC